This 87-nucleotide transfer RNA is filed under the name Gammaproteobacteria bacterium. RNAcentral describes it as "tRNA-Leu". It matches the Rfam family "tRNA". From Rfam's summary of the family: Transfer RNA (tRNA) molecules are approximately 80 nucleotides in length. Their secondary structure includes four short double-helical elements and three loops (D, anti-codon, and T loops). The record is from RNAcentral. Lineage: Bacteria; Pseudomonadati; Pseudomonadota; Gammaproteobacteria.
GCCGGGGUGGCGAAAUUGGUAGACGCGCCAGAUUCAAAAUCUGGUAGUGGCAACACUGUGUCGGUUCGAGUCCGACCCUCGGUACCA